RNAcentral lists this ribosomal RNA (855 nucleotides) under uncultured candidate division WS6 bacterium. Its description in RNAcentral is "bacterial SSU rRNA". It matches the Rfam family "Bacterial small subunit ribosomal RNA", at positions 38 to 856 of the family's 1533-position model. The record is from RNAcentral.
GGCUGUGUGCNUAAGGUAUGCAAGUCGAACGAACCCUUUUGAAUUACUUGAAACUUCGGUUGAUUGUUUUUCUUUUUUGGGUUAGUGGCAAACGGGUGAGUAACACGUGGAUAACCUGCCUUGAAGUCAUGAACAGCUCAUCGAAAGAUGGGAUAAUACAUGAUAGUCUUACAUCUUCUUUAGAUCUUGUAAGUAAAGUUACGGCGCUUCAAGAGGGGUCCGCGUCCUAUCAGCUAGUUGGUGAGGUAAUAGCUCACCAAGGCUAAGACGGGUAGCUGGCGUGAGAGCGCGGUCAGCCACCAUGGAACUGAGACACGGUCCAUACUCCUACGGGAGGCAGCAAUUAGGAAUCUUGCGCAAUGGGGGCAACCCUGACGCAGCGACACAGCGUGGAGGAAGAAGGUCUUCGGAUUGUAAACUCCUUUUAUAUGGGAAGAAUAGAUGACGGUACCAUAUGAAUAAGCACCUGCUAACUACGUGCCAGAAGCAUCGGUAAUGCGUAGGGUGCAAACGUUAUCCGGAUUUAUUGGGUGUAUAGAGAUGCGUAGGCGUUUUUGUAAGUCUUUAGUUAAAGACCACGGCUCAACCGUGGAAGAGCUUCGGAUACUGCAAAAAUUGAGACAGGAAGAGGCGAACAGAAUUUCCAGUGGAGCGGUGAAAUGCGUUGAUACUGGGAGGAAUAUCAGUGGCGAAGGCGGUUCGCUGGUCCUUGUCUGACGCUAAGGCUCGAAAGCGUGGGUAGCAAAACGGAUUAGAUACCCGUGUAGUCCACGCUGUAAACUAUGGAUGCUAGGUGUUCGGUAUAACUGUUUUUUCCUUCGGGAAAAAAUGGAAGUAUUGAGUGCCGCAGUUAAC